AGCACUCAGGAAACACAAAGAAUUUUAACAUCUACGAAAACAAAAAGUCGGAUAUAUGUUACAACCGGAAAUGAGACCUUUCCAUUGACGGAAAGAGAAGCAAUCGCUACUUUGGUUCCUAGUAUUGGUAAAACACAAUCAGAAGACGGAAUAACACACGGAAGAGCACAGACACCAGAUUCAACUGAGAAAGCAUCUUCAAAUGAUUUAAUUGUGGUGUAAGAAUACAAAUUUUGUAAAUGAAUGAUUUUUAAACAGAUAAAAACCACUUAGUAACUUGAUUUGAUUGUGAAAAUUCAUCAAAGAUACCAAACUAGUCAGAAGCCAGACGCAAUCCGUCUACCUUAAAAUCAUCAGUAUAUAUAAUAAAACAUUAUUCCGUCUUUCCCAAUAUCGGUUCGUCAAAAAGAGCAUUUCAUAUAAAAUAGAAUUUAUAGUAAUCACCUAUUACGUAUUUAAUGUUUUUUUAGAACAUUAAUUUAGAACAUUACUUAAUGUAUACAAAAACAAUUUCCAAGGUAUUACACUCUUGUUACCAUAUCGUUUAA
Long non-coding RNA from Mytilus californianus (California mussel), 548 nucleotides. RefSeq lists it as uncharacterized. NCBI's taxonomy places the organism in Eukaryota, Metazoa, Mollusca, Bivalvia, Mytilida, Mytilidae. The record is from RefSeq and is a predicted model, not a curated record. The transcript is spliced from 3 exons.